Molecule: long non-coding RNA, 313 nt
Organism: Cryptotermes secundus
Lineage: Eukaryota; Metazoa; Arthropoda; Insecta; Blattodea; Kalotermitidae
Exons: 2
Source: RefSeq, a predicted model, not a curated record
AUGAAAAUUAAUAAGAACUGUGAACAAACACUUCUACAGCUGGGAUUACUAUUCUGUUUUAUGCCUACUAGUGACCACCAUUCACCUGUAUGCUAUAGCUGCUGUUCAUAGAGUCAAAAGUACAGCUACAGUUAAAACGACUGUAUCCACCUGCAGUAAUCAGGUGCACAUGUUUUCCCACAGUCUGUUUAGCAGCAGCAUACUCACCAAGACCAUCACCACCAGAGAAAGUUGCUGCACCUGACCGUGUGUCAUAAUGACUAUUUGCGAAAGAUGAGAAGCUACGCUGCAGACGGCGAUGUCGCAACACAAA